Molecule: long non-coding RNA, 1301 nt
Organism: Alligator sinensis (Chinese alligator)
Lineage: Eukaryota; Metazoa; Chordata; Crocodylia; Alligatoridae
Exons: 3
Source: RefSeq, a predicted model, not a curated record
AUGGGGGGCGGGGCUGCUCCCGCCUGCCGAGAAGGGCCCGGGGGCACCGGCCAGGCCGCGGAGAUCCGCCUUCUGCGCUGCGAAGGCCCUGAGGGAGCUGGCGCGGUGCCCCCCGCUGUAGUGCCUCGCCCUGCCCUGCUCUGCUCUCGUCCUCGGCGCCCCGAGGUGCUCGGCUGCUCCCCAGCUCCUGCCAGCCGGCCCCGGGGCUGACAUCCGCGCCCCAGCCCUGCUCCGACCCCCGGGCCUUUGCUGCUGCCUGUCUCCGGGGACCACUCUGCUGCCCUCUGCCCACGUGGAGACUGUUACCAGUUGCAUGUUCCUGCUCCUGGCGUGGUGGACAUGAGUACUCCUUUGGUUUCCUUCUGUGGAGGGAACUUCUUUUUAUUGUCAUAAUUUAGUCUAGGUCUAUUUUUCUUUUCGCUUAAAAACUGCUUCGCUUGCCUUUCUGAAGAGCGCUAGUGGAUGAAGCGGAGUAAUACAUACUCAGAAACAGAAUACCACAUGACUCAGCUACACAGGAAACAGCAUAACUAAAUUAUGCCCAGCACAUAUGCAGCCUUGGACUGAUGGAAGAAUAGAGGAGAUUCCCCACCAACACCCAUGCCAAUUCACACCUGAAAUAACAAGCUCUGAUUUCAAAGAGGAACUCAAGUGCCAUGUGUUACCUAAACCCUGAAAUGCGGGGCUUAAGUAGUGCAGAGGGUUUCUGUUAUUCUAAUAGUAAAUUUUACCCACAACACACAAUUUAGUCCUUAACACACAAUUUAGUCCUUGAUUAACACACAAUUUAGUCUUUGAUUAAAUGGGCUAAAGAAGCAAGCAUAGAGGAAAAUGAUAGUGAAACAGGCAGAAUAGUAGAGAGAGACCCUAUUAUAGAGGGUAUUACUACAUGUGUGAUGAUGAUAUAGUUCCCUCUGCUAGUUGGAACCAGGCCAUGUGUACUAAAAGCUUGGAGGCAAGCUAUGCAGAUGCUAGGGAGCUCAGGUUCUUUUUGGUGCAUGGAAGAAAAUAUUGUCUUUGAACAGGUGCUUAUUUUUUUACAUUAUAAAGGAUACUUUUUAAUACACACUUCUAACAUCGCUCGGUUAGAACAUUUAUUAUGUUUAAAACUGGUAUGAGUAUAAAAUAUACCUGCUAAAACUGGGGGAAAAACAGGUCACACUUAAAAUAUCUUUCUGGUAAAGUUGCAAAUAGAAUGUUUUGCAUUAAGGCCAUUAUAAAGUGUAUACAUGUCUUUAAAGGAUUUCAGCAUAGUAACAUAUUCAUGCGUCUCAUCCAACAGCAAAGCACGUUACAACUGA